GAGCAUUUGGGCUUUUAGCUGGUAUUUUCGAUCUGUAUUGCGUGGUUGAAGUUACCCAGGGGCUAACCCUUGGCCUGCUGGUGAGGUUGAUUCAGCACCACCUGUCAACCUAUAGAUCAGUGGUUCAAAUCCUGAAAACAACUUCAUCGCAUUGUGUGGGUAAGCACUAAGGCUGCAUAUAUCUUGUUCUUCCUCUAUGGCUCUAUCCCACCUCCAUUGAGAGAGCCUUGUGCAAGGGAGUUAUUAUGUUUUACUUGUUUGAACUUACCUAACACACUUUCUUGUUUUCUGUUUCUAAAACAAUGCAGCUGGCAACCAAAUGUGCCUUUUCUUCCAUGGUAUUGAGACUCAAGAACGUGCAAAAUUUAGUGGCUUGUUUUCAGUUGUUGAAAAUGGAAAAUUUUCAACAUGACCAAACAUAACUCUAGUUUUUUGAGAUGGAUUUAUAAAAUUCAGAUUUUGGAUUUGGUUUAAACAUUUAACUUUCAAUUCUCGGUUUAGGCUUCUGAACUACUAGUUGCAUUGAAAAACGAGACCUAAUUGUCUAGUAACUUGAUUUUGUUUAACCUGUUUAUAUUGCAGGAGGGUUUUGGACUGGAAUUUAGGCGUAGUUUUAUAAUGUCUGGCAUGCUGGCUUGUACAUCCUGCAUCUUUGAGAUGAGGAAGAUACCUUUGUUUACAUAUUUCAUAGUUUUCUCUUUAUAUGAUUAACUGGCUAUCUGAAACUUGUACAGAUGGCAUCUGUUGAAAUAGAAUGUGUUGAUGGUUUGGAAGAUGUAAGCUCUGCAUUACUUGUAUCAGAACCAGUUCCUCUUAUGGAAGGUGAAGGAAGCUCACUCAGGGUAUUGGGUUUUGAUCAAUGUUUGGUGUUGGGGACUCUUAUUGGAGGAGUUUGUAGGUCACUUAAAGUAGAAGACCCUUGCAGAAAUACAAUAAUAUGGAAGUCUCUUCUUGUCUCACAUUGUUGAAGAUAUAACUGAAUUGCCCACCAUUUCAGAUGGUGUCCUAAAAGGUGGCUUGACAUAGAAGCUCUAUGUGUCAGAAUUGGACUGGUAAGUCUUUCAUGGAAUGUGGCUAUCGUUCAUUUAAUAAAGAUUUAUUUGUGUCCUUUCAUUGAAUUGUAACCUUUAUUUUGAUACGGACUUGAGGGCAUUUGGAUGUGCAGCCCGGUCUAGUGAAGGUAAAGGAUUUACCUGGCAAAGAUUUUUACUGUAGCUAAAAUGCAAUAUCAUGCUGGGCACCACUUAUCUUUGAGCAUAGCCAAAGUUAACAUAGCUGCAGAUACUGCCAGUCACACAAGAGGGGAAAAAAGUAGAGAAUCUGUAUGCAUUAACGUAUGGUUGCUGCAAAGAAAGUCUUUUAUUGUUGGAGGUUGCUGCAAAGAUUUUCGAAUCUGUACAAGUGCCAAUUCUAUCUUCUGGUCCAUAAAUCUUACUAUUAAUUAUCGAUCAUAGUGCUCUGUUGGUUGCUGACUUAGUCUUGAAAAUUUGUGAACCUUUUUGUUUAUUUCCAUAUUGCAUACUCCCACAUGCUUAUCUAUUUCUGUCAUAUAAACAACAGGUAUUGAGGAAGUUCAUUCAAUUCUGCACAUCCUGAAUUCUUCCAGCCUCUUAUAGCCGAAUGGGUAGGAGUUUGUAUGAUCUAUUAGUGAUUCCAGAAUCCAUUCUUUGGUCUGAGAACAGAAUCCAUACUGAACGUUCACUUGCUUUGAUACUUGUACCGGGUAAUUGAUGAGGUUUGCAAAUAAAGAUAAACGCAUGCGAAUGGCAUUACAGCUCUGGAACAAUAUACUCUCUCUGUUUUUUUUUUUGUUGAUUUUCAGUGACAUCUAGUAACAAUUACAGUCUCUCUACUCCUAUAAACUUUGUUGGAUUUGAUCUGGAUCGUUGCAUUCAUAAUUCAGAUCACUUAUGUUGUGAUUUGGC
Tripterygium wilfordii is the source of this 1925-nucleotide long non-coding RNA. RefSeq lists it as uncharacterized. The record is from RefSeq and is a predicted model, not a curated record. The transcript has 6 exons. NCBI's taxonomy places the organism in Eukaryota, Viridiplantae, Streptophyta, Magnoliopsida, Celastrales, Celastraceae.